AACGAACGCUGGCGGCAUGCCUAACACAUGCAAGUCGAACGAGACCUCCGGGUCUAGUGGCGCACGGGUGCGUAACGCGUGGGAACCUUCCCUUAGGUUCGGAAUAACUCCCCGAAAGGGGUGCUAAUACCGGAUAAUGUCUUCGGACCAAAGACUUAUCGCCUUUGGAUGGGCCCGCGUUGGAUUAGCUAGUUGGUAGGGUAAAAGCCUACCACGGCGACGAUCCAUAGCUGGUCAGAGAGGAUGAUCAGCCACACUGGGACUGCGACACGGCCCAGACUCCUACGGGAGGCAGCAAUGGGGAAUAUUGGACAGUGGGCGAAAGCGUGAUCCAGCAAUGCCGCGUGAGUGAUGAAGGCCUUAGGGUUGUAAAGCUCUUUUACCCGGGAUGAUAAUGACAGUACCGGGAGAAUAAGCUCCGGCUAACUCCGUG
Molecule: ribosomal RNA, 433 nt
Filed under: uncultured bacterium
Lineage: Bacteria
Description: partial 16S ribosomal RNA
Rfam family: Bacterial small subunit ribosomal RNA
Source: RNAcentral